CAAUGUUGGAAACUGAGAGUGAAGCAGGUUUUAGCAAAAUCCAGGAGAUCUUCCUUCACAGGAGGCUGAGUUUGGUGACAAACUUCUAUCUGAACCACAAACACGUCUUAGUUCCAGAUGCUUCGAAUGCAAAGUACAGACCUUUGGUUUCCUACAGUGUUCUGGCGGUGAGUUCCUCUCAGUCAUGGUUCCCAGCAGCUCCAGUCCUUCCACAGCCCACAGUCUGGCUCCACAUGCUCCAACACAACAAACCUGGACAAACAUCUCAGCAGCACAAACCCAACGUCUCAGUAAAUGAAUCAAAUCAUUAAACAUGCAUGUUUCUGUUUCCUGUAGGAGGAUCUUGUUAAGAAGUCAUGGUGGGGGGGGGGGCUUUGCACCAUGAGUUCACAAGAGAAGGAGAGAAGAUGCUGAGAUGUAGAUGCUGAGAUGUUUGGAGCCACCGCAGAGGAAACAGAAAACCCAAACACGGAUGGGCUGCCUCAUUCCGGAUCUCCUGCAGCUUCAGCAAUGACCGAAAAUGAGGCCACUUUUACAAGAGGCUAAAGAUAUGCACCUGUGUUCCUCAUGAGGACACGUCCUUCAGGGAACACGGACCGUGGACUUCCUGUUCAUUCCCCACGGCUUCCCAAGAUGCUGAACGAGAACCGGCUCCACGCAGCUCCAUGAUGACACCUUCAUCGCCUCAGAGCCGCUCCUCUUCAUGCCAACACCAGGAGCAGAUCAACAGUUCUGAAGAACCUCUGCUGGCUCAGGGGAACCAGCACGCUGCUGGUCAACUCAUCCUCUUCUUGACUUGUGCUGAAAGGACGUUUUCGGUUCUGUUUGGUUGUUGUCUCGAAAAAGCUGAAAAGUACAGUUUCAUGUGAAGUUUUUAUUUUUCAAUCUUCUGUCCAGCAGUGAGAAAAAACUUUUUGAACAGGUUUAAAAUGGCUUUUUUUUUUACUUCAAAAGUGUGUUUGUGUUACUUAUCAUAUCUGUUUGAGUUUAGUGAUGCUAAAACUGUAUCUUUAUCUUUCUGCUGUCAGCUUUAUCUUCUGCACUGAUUCUUUAUUUAAAACUUUAUGAUGGAACAAAUGUUUUAAAAAUGUAAAAAAGAAAAUUUAAAAACUGUUUUCUAGCCAAUUACUUGAUGUUUAAUGUGAUCUUUUUGUUAAUGUAAUGUGUUUUUCAGUUUUAUUGAUAUAAAGUUUAUUUUUGUUUUGCCUCAA
Oryzias latipes (Japanese medaka) is the source of this 1211-nucleotide long non-coding RNA. RefSeq lists it as uncharacterized. The record is from RefSeq and is a predicted model, not a curated record. NCBI's taxonomy places the organism in Eukaryota, Metazoa, Chordata, Actinopteri, Beloniformes, Adrianichthyidae.